Molecule: long non-coding RNA, 2006 nt
Filed under: Homo sapiens (human)
Lineage: Eukaryota; Metazoa; Chordata; Mammalia; Primates; Hominidae
Description: MRPL20 antisense RNA 1
Source: RNAcentral
AUGUCUGUCCCUAGCGGAGGCGCGGGUGCCGUGCUGAGAGCGCCUGCCUGUGCGCCCCGAGCGGGGCUGGGACUCUUCCAAGAUGCCCACGUUCGCACAGAGACCCCGGAUCGCGGAAGCUCGCGUCUCGAAAGGCGGUCUCACGCCCUGCCCGUCCUGGGUUCACGGUUUUUCAUCACCUGCGGCUGUCCUGCGAUCGACCACAGCUGUGCAGGAGGGGCAGGAGGUAUCUGUUGCUGCAGUUACCGGAACCUUUGCCAGGACUAGUACAGGACCACGGGUGAGGAUGGUGGGGAAGCCUGCGUGGGGCAGGGAACGGUGAGGCAGGAAGAGGGAAGGGCAGCAGAGGCCUGAGUGGUUGCAGGUUCACACACUGAGCUGCCAGUAACUGCCCAGCUCAGACGGGCUCAAAUUCAGAAGCCACCAUUGCUCCUCACCCCCACCCCCAGGUCAGCUGUCCACUAGCUCUGCCAUGACUUGAUACUGCAGCUCAAACAGUGCCAACCAAAACCCACUCUCCUCACCGCCUGUUAUGGGUAACACGGUAUGGUUACAGCUUUACUCAUGUCCUCUUUCCCCAGGCUGGUAGCUCAGGGAUGUCUCGUCUGUGAGUUACAGCUGCACGCUCUCCAGGAAAGAAGGAAUUUCCUCUUCUCUGGAAACCCCACCACACAGCUGGUUUCUCAUUGGUGCUGCUUGCCCAUUCCCUGAGCUGUGACUGCCAGAGGAGUGGGAGGUUGGUGGUGCCUCCAGCCCAUCAGGGGCAGGCCCUGGGACCGCCUGGGAACAGGAGGACUAUGGCACAAACCGAGUGAGUGAUGGGAGCAACCCGCAGGGCUCUGCCACAUCCCUGUCUUCCUUCACUGACAUGAAACGCAGAAAAGGCAGCUUUGCCACAACACAGGAGCACGCACCGAAUGUGGCCGCCCAGGGCUCUGUCCUUGACCCUGUUGUCCAGGACUGUUUACCAAGGGCUGACAGGCACUGAGUGCCCCGUGCACCUGGCCAGACACUGCACUCAUGCAGCGGAAAGGACAGUGAACGAGACUUUGUCCCUGGCCUCCAAAGGCUUAGGGCGUAGUGGCUGUCAUGAGGCACAGUGACAAGGGCCAGGAGGGGGACCUCUUAGGGGGCCAUGCAGUGAUGGAAGCCAGAAGGAAUGAAGGCCUGCAGUGAGGAUGGAGUGGUCGGCCUGAAGCCAUCUCUAGCAAGUGGUCAGGACGCUGAUUGUUCUGCGCAGGUUGGAGGUAGGUGGUGAGUCUGAGAAAGGGGCCGGAAAGACUCCCCAGCAACUGCUGGCAAAGGGUGAAGGGCACGUUCCCACAGGAUUCAAGCCAGCUGCCUUUGGAGGGGAGACGGGCACUCAGUUUAGGCGCUCCUACAGCAGGGUCAGCAAGACAAGCAGGUUGCGGCAAGGGUCUGCGCACUGCUGUGUAAAUGUAGGGGCAUCGGGGGGCAGAAAGACCAGGGGAGAAGUGUGCAUCACCCUUGGGGUUAAGGGACAGUUGUCUGCUAGGUGUUGCUUCCUGGAGAUGGCUGAAAAGCCAGUCCAGUCUGCAGGGACCAGGCCACCACCCACCUGAUGUGGGAGCAUUUCCCCCAAUCCCUGCUGGGCUGCUGAAUCUGGGGGACAUAGGGAAGCUGAGGCUGGUGUUCUGAGUAGUGGCAGAGCUGAGCCACAGGGCAUGUCUGAGGUCAGCCCCGAGCAAAAUGGAAUAGGGACUCAGGGUGGGUCAGGUAACUGGAAAGCGGGCACUGUGCACGCAGCCCUUGAGGGGAGCCAGGGUGGGUGGGGAUCCCCCACUGUGUGCAGAAGGCAGCAGCCUUGGAAGCAGGGUGUGCUCCUCGGUGUGGUCGCUCGAUACCAGAAAAUGACUCUAAAAACUGAAGAGUGUUUGAGUUUCAUUCACACAAAACAUGGACAUCAUCUGUGAGGCUCUGUCCCAGAGAGACAGGGCCAUCCCUCAUGUCUGUUAUUGGGUUGUAGAUAAACAAAAGUAUAAAUC